Long non-coding RNA from Acanthochromis polyacanthus (spiny chromis), 389 nucleotides. RefSeq lists it as uncharacterized. The record is from RefSeq and is a predicted model, not a curated record. The transcript has 4 exons. Lineage: Eukaryota; Metazoa; Chordata; Actinopteri; Pomacentridae.
CGUCCCCUUCAGUCGUCGGUAGGUCUGCUCUAGAACUUUCUCCAGUUGUCGGUAGGUCUACUCUAGAACUUUCUCCAGUCGUCGGUAGGUCUGCUCUAGAACUUUCUCCAGUUGUCAGUAGGUCUACUCUAGAACUUUCUCCUGUUGUCAGUAGGUCUGCUCUAGAACUUUCUCCAGUUGUCGGUAGGUCUGCUCUAGAACUUUCUCCAGUUGUCGGUAGGUCUGCUCUAGAACUUUCUCCAGUUGUCGGUAGGUCUGCUCUAGAACUUUCUCCAGUUGUCGGUAGGUCUGCUCUAGAACUUUCUCCAGUUGUCGGUAGGUCUGCUCUAGAACUUUCUCCAGUUGUCGGUAGGUCUGCUCUAGAACUUUCUCCAGUUGUCGGUAGGUCU